CAGUAGCCGCGGGAAUACGGAGGGUGCAAGCGUUAAUCGGAAUUACUGGGCGUAAAGCGCACGCAGGCGGUCUGACAAGUCAGAUGUGAAAUCCCCGGGCUUAACCUGGGAACUGCAUUUGAAACUGUCAGGCUGGAGUCUUGUAGAGGGGGGUAGAAUUCCAGGUGUAGCGGUGAAAUGCGUAGAGAUCUGGAGGAAUACCGGUGGCGAAGGCGGCCCCCUGGACAAAGACUGACGCUGAGGUACGAAAGCAUGGGGAGCAAACAGGAUUAGAUACCCCAGUAGUCCCUGUCUCUUAUAC
This 301-nucleotide ribosomal RNA is filed under the name uncultured bacterium. RNAcentral's name for it is "partial 16S ribosomal RNA". It matches the Rfam family "Bacterial small subunit ribosomal RNA", at positions 509 to 807 of the family's 1533-position model. The record is from RNAcentral.